GAAGCUAACUUGUCAAUUUUACAGUGGCUUGACGACUGAGAAACAGGGGCUACUGUUUCGUGAGCUUGUGGUUUUGUUCCGGAGUGCUAAUAUUGAUAUACAAAACGCAACCAGAGAAGCCUUGCUGCGUUUGAAUAUUACUUGCUCUACGGUUGUCCAUGCACUUGAUUUUAUAUUCAAACAACAUAGUGGCAAAACUGAUUCAGCAUAUGGGAGGAAAAAGAAGAAGAAAUCAAUGGCGCAUCAAACGUCAACGUCAGAUCAUAAUUUGGUUUGUAAGGG
RNAcentral lists this unclassified non-coding RNA (282 nucleotides) under Hevea brasiliensis (rubber tree). Lineage: Eukaryota; Viridiplantae; Streptophyta; Magnoliopsida; Malpighiales; Euphorbiaceae. The record is from RNAcentral.